RNAcentral lists this ribosomal RNA (403 nucleotides) under uncultured bacterium. RNAcentral's name for it is "partial 16S ribosomal RNA". It matches the Rfam family "Bacterial small subunit ribosomal RNA", at positions 28 to 526 of the family's 1533-position model. The record is from RNAcentral.
GACGAACGCUGGCGGCGUGCCUAAUACAUGCAAGUCGAACGCAGUGGGGACGGGUGGGUAACACGUGGGUAACCUCCCAUCAGAGGGGAUAACACUUGGCAACAGGUGCUAAACCCAUACUGAUGGAUGGACCAGCGGGGCAUUAGCUAGUUGGGGAGGUAACGGCUCACCAAGGCAACGAUGCAUAGACGACCUGAGAGGAUGAUGGGCCACACGGGAACUGAGACACAGCCCAGACUCCUACGGGAGGCAGCAGUAGGGAAUCGUCGGCAAUGGGCGAAAGUCUGACCGAGCAACGCCGCGUGAGUGAAGAAGGUUUGCGGAUCGUAAAGCUCUGUUGUUAGAGAAGCGGUAUCUAACCAGAAAGCCACGGCUAACUACGUGCCAGCAGCCGCGGUAAUAC